RNAcentral lists this ribosomal RNA (1200 nucleotides) under metagenome. RNAcentral's name for it is "bacterial SSU rRNA". It matches the Rfam family "Bacterial small subunit ribosomal RNA", at positions 238 to 1441 of the family's 1533-position model. The record is from RNAcentral.
GCAUUAGCUAGUUGGUGAGGUAACGGCCCACCAAGGCGACGAUGCAUAGCCGGCCUGAGAGGGCGGACGGCCACAUUGGGACUGAGACACGGCCCAAACUCCUACGGGAGGCAGCAGUAGGGAAUUUUCGUCAAUGGGGGGAACCCUGAACGAGCAAUGCCGCGUGAGUGAGGAAGGUCUUCGGAUCUAAAGCUCUGUUGUAAGAGAAAAACGACAUUCAUAGGGAAUGAUGAGUGAGUGAUGGUAUCUUACCAGAAAGUCACGGCUAACUACGUGCCAGCAGCCGCGGUAAUACGUAGGUGGCGAGCGUUAUCCGGAAUGAUUGGGCGUAAAGGGUGCGUAGGUGGCAGAUCAAGUCUGGAGUAAAAGGUAUGGGCUCAACCCGUACUGGCUCUGGAAACUGAUCAGCUAGAGAACAGAAGAGGACGGCGGAACUCCAUGUGUAGCGGUAAAAUGCGUAGAUAUAUGGAAGAACACCGGUGGCGAAGGCGGCCGUCUGGUCUGGAUUCUGACACUGAAGCACGAAAGCGUGGGGAGCAAAUAGGAUUAGAUACCCUAGUAGUCCACGCCAUAAACGAUGAGAACUAGGUGUUGGGGGAAUAACUCAGUGCCGCAGUUAACGCAGUAAGUUCUCCGCCUGGGGAGUAUGCACGCAAGUGUGAAACUCAAAGGAAUUGACGGGGGCCCGCACAAGCGGUGGAGUAUGUGGUUUAAUUCGAAGCAACGCGAAGAACCUUACCAGGCCUUGACAUCCCUUGCGGAGGUAUAGAGAUAUAUCCGAGGUUACCAAGGAGACAGGUGGUGCAUGGUUGUCGUCAGCUCGUGUCGUGAGAUGUUGGGUUAAGUCCCGCAACGAGCGCAACCCUUGUGAUAUGUUACUAACAUUGAGUUGAGGACUCAUAUCAGACUGCCGGUGAUAAACCGGAGGAAGGUGGGGAUGACGUCAAAUCAUCAUGCCCCUUAUGGCCUGGGCUACACACGUACUACAAUGGCGUCUACAAAGAGCGGCAAGCCUGUGAAGGCAAGCGAAUCUCAUAAAGGGCGUCUCAGUUCGGAUUGAAGUCUGCAACCCGACUUCAUGAAGCUGGAAUCGCUAGUAAUCGCGAAUCAGCAUGUCGCGGUGAAUACGUUCUCGGGCCUUGUACACACCGCCCGUCAAACCAUGGGAGUUGGUAAUGCCCGAAGCCGGUGGCGUAACCC